This 301-nucleotide ribosomal RNA is filed under the name uncultured bacterium. RNAcentral describes it as "partial 16S ribosomal RNA". It matches the Rfam family "Bacterial small subunit ribosomal RNA", at positions 509 to 807 of the family's 1533-position model. The record is from RNAcentral.
CAGCCGCCACGGGAAUACAGAGGGUGCGAGCGUUAAUCGGAUUUACUGGGCGUAAAGCGUGCGUAGGCGGCUUCUUAAGUCGGAUGUGAAAUCCCUGAGCUUAACUUAGGAAUUGCAUUCGAUACUGUGAAGCUAGAGUAUGGGAGAGGAUGGUAGAAUUCCAGGUGUAGCGGUGAAAUGCGUAGAGAUCUGGAGGAAUACCGAUGGCGAAGGCAGCCAUCUGGCCUAAUACUGACGCUGAGGUACGAAAGCAUGGGGAGCAAACAGGAUUAGAUACCCCGGUAGUCCCUGUCUCUUAUAC